Bos taurus (domestic cattle) is the source of this 1360-nucleotide long non-coding RNA. The record is from Ensembl. NCBI's taxonomy places the organism in Eukaryota, Metazoa, Chordata, Mammalia, Artiodactyla, Bovidae.
GAGGGCUUUCUCUAGUCGUGGCAAGUAGGGACUGCAGGGUAAGGGAGUCAGAGAAGGUGAGGUUCGGAAAAAGAACAAGAGCGGCACUUUACAGGAACAGAUCACUUUUAAUGAGCAUACAGUUUCAGUCUGAAGACUGAAAAUAUUUUCAGACAUCAUUCUGUGUUGGAUCUGGAUUGGAAGAAUGAACCAAGACUUUGAAUCUUACUUCCUCCAUUUUGAUACAGGCCUCCUCAGAGUUUGCCGGUCAAGAGGCUAAGGGGUAGGACUAUAGUGAUGAUUGCUAAGGGAAGUGGACCUUAUUGAUCUUUCAGAAGUCACAUCUUUAAAAACUACUGGUGCUGAGGAGAGGAAACCGCAUCCUCAUCUGGCAGAGCUCCCAGAGGAUGUGAUCCUCUUGCCUUUUUGCUUUUGUUCUGCAGAAAGCCGCCUUUUUAAGGUACCCAUUAGGCUUUCACUCUUUGAUCUAUUUUGUUCUACCUUUUUCAUCUUCCCUGUUGCUAUCCCAGCUGGCCAUGUCUUUACCAUAGCAGCUACCAAAUAAGGAAUCAUGUUUUCCAAACUCACUGGCUAGUGAUGGUUGCUGUGCUACCAUGAAAUCAGUUUCAUCCUUUUAUUCAGGUUCAACGAUUUCUGGAAAGUUUUAAAACAAAGUUUCUUCGUUAUGACUGGUUAGCUAAUCCGGGAGGUGGAGGCCAAUCUCUCUCUGGAACAGUAUCCACAAACAUCUGAUGAACCUGCGGUGGUACAUCUGUGUAUUCUUACAGCUUCAUUGAACCGUUUGGCGGCGGUGGCCAGAGCGUGUCUCAGGCUCCCUCACUGAUUGCUGGCGCAACUGCUGCGAAAUAUGUAUUUGUUUCAAGCCGCUAAAUUGGUGGUAAUUUGCAAGACAGUAACAGAAAACUAAUACACCAUUAGCGGUGUUAUUAGGGUGGCAAAGUUUGGGAUUGCGGUGGAAGAAGCAUCUGGUUUGUUUUAGAUGAUUCUGAAUUUUGAAUUGCUACCCAUAAAAGGGAGAAAACAUAACAAAACACUAAACAGAAAUCGGUGUGAAAGAGAACACACAAAAGCACCCCCUUCAACGCCUAGAUCAGGCCUUCUUGGUCACCCUUCUCCAGCCUGAAGUGACUGUUCCCUCCUCAGAUAUUUACAGACACUGAUGUAUUUUAUCACCUUUAUAAUGCUCUUCUUUUUUAUGCUCUAGAGGCUGUCUGUGUCUAACUAACUGGGUUUCAAUUUCCUUGAGGGCAAAGAUCUUCUCUUGUUGAUUUUUCCAUCUCCCACAGUGCCUUGCACAGACUCUAGUAAAUGUUACUUGAUUGGCCAAAGAAGAUGGUUUUAUCUGAUAAGUCCUUCAAAC